RNAcentral lists this ribosomal RNA (242 nucleotides) under uncultured bacterium. Its description in RNAcentral is "partial 16S ribosomal RNA". It matches the Rfam family "Bacterial small subunit ribosomal RNA", at positions 90 to 334 of the family's 1533-position model. The record is from RNAcentral.
GGCGACCGGCGCACGGGUGAGUAACGCGUAUCCAACCUCCCGCAUACUCGGGGAUAGCCUUCUGAAAGGAAGAUUAAUACCCGAUGGUAUCUUAAGCGCACAUGCAAUUAAGAUUAAAGAAUUCGGUAUGCGAUGGGGAUGCGUUCCAUUAGGUAGUAGGCGGGGUAACGGCCCACCUAGCCAUCGAUGGAUAGGGGUUCUGAGAGGAAGGUCCCCCACAUUGGAACUGAGACACGGUCCAA